UAGAAAGAGGAAACCAAUCACUCAAGUUCAUCUCAAACCCACCAUAGUUGUUGUUGAGUAUAGUGAUAAGAGAUAUCAACUAAAAUGAGUGGUCGGAAGGUUUCAGUUUUUUUGGCUUUCUUGCUCUUCUUUUUCCUCGUCUCCUCAGAGUUGGGUGCAGCCAGGAAGCUAAUGGUGGCCGGAAAAAAUGCAGCGGUCAAUCCCCGCACACAAGACUCCUACGACCCCUAUUGCGAUCGUAACAGUUAUAGGAGUUGCCUCCCACAGCCCUGCGAUCCUUAUGUAGAAUACUGCCCUCCGAAGAACUGAAGUGGAAACUAAGAUCAAACAUGGAAACUAAAUAAACUAACCCACAACUACGUGGGUUUUAAUUACUAUCUAUCUUGCCUUUGUUGUGUGUGUUGAAUCCUAUGUAUAUGGUUAUAAGUUUGGGAGAUUUGUGUUUUAUGCCUAGGAUGUGCGAUAUGAUAUAAUUCGUAACUCGAUCAAUUUAUACCAUAUGUUAGAUUCUAUCUUAAAAAAA
Molecule: long non-coding RNA, 523 nt
Organism: Cucurbita pepo subsp. pepo (vegetable marrow)
Lineage: Eukaryota; Viridiplantae; Streptophyta; Magnoliopsida; Cucurbitales; Cucurbitaceae
Source: RefSeq, a predicted model, not a curated record